Molecule: transfer RNA, 69 nt
Filed under: Ictidomys tridecemlineatus (thirteen-lined ground squirrel)
Lineage: Eukaryota; Metazoa; Chordata; Mammalia; Rodentia; Sciuridae
Description: Spermophilus tridecemlineatus (thirteen-lined ground squirrel) tRNA
Rfam family: tRNA
About the family: Transfer RNA (tRNA) molecules are approximately 80 nucleotides in length. Their secondary structure includes four short double-helical elements and three loops (D, anti-codon, and T loops). Further hydrogen bonds mediate the characteristic L-shaped molecular structure. tRNAs have two regions of fundamental functional importance: the anti-codon, which is responsible for specific mRNA codon recognition, and the 3' end, to which the tRNAs corresponding amino acid is attached (by aminoacyl-tRNA synthetases). tRNAs cope with the degeneracy of the genetic code in two manners: having more than one tRNA (with a specific anti-codon) for a particular amino acid; and 'wobble' base-pairing, i.e. permitting non-standard base-pairing at the 3rd anti-codon position.
Source: Rfam by way of RNAcentral
GGGGUUGUAGUUCAGUGGUAGAGCACUUGCCUCACAUGCAUGAGGCCCUGGGUUCAAUGCUCAGCACCA